RNAcentral lists this unclassified non-coding RNA (318 nucleotides) under Athalia rosae (coleseed sawfly). RNAcentral's name for it is "misc RNA ENSAEAG00005003868.1". The record is from RNAcentral. Lineage: Eukaryota; Metazoa; Arthropoda; Insecta; Hymenoptera; Athaliidae.
GUGAAUACGUGCAUGGAACGUAGUGCAGGCGGAUUGACGAGGUAGGCAUGGCCCCGCGUCAGUCUCCAUUGGGGGGCUGACGUCAUCUCCGCAAAUGUUCACCACCGCACGACAAAACAACAAUUGCACCAAGCGGCGUUCUACUCGACCGCGGUACGCUGGGGGACAAACCGAGUAACGGCGAGCCGAAGGCCGGGGAUUUCAUCUGCCUAAUACGGUGAAAUGCACCCCCUGUAGCUUCGAGAUUCUAGCCGAGGAAAAAAAAACUGGUAAUCAGCCGUUCGAUCGCUCGUUAAUAUCUUUUUCUUCCGGAUCAAU